UACGUAGGGGGCGAGCGUUGUCCGGAAUUAUUGGGCGUAAAGAGCGUGUAGGCGGCUUGGCAAGUCCUGUGUGAAAGCCCUGGGCUCAACCCAGGAAGUGCGCAGGAUACUGCCGAGCUGGAGUAGCGGAGAGGAUGGCGGAAUACCCGGUGUAGAGGUGAAAUUCGUAGAUAUCGGGUGGAACACCUGUGGCGAAGGCGGCCAUCUGGACGUUCACUGACGCUGAGACGCGAAAGCGUGGGUAGCAAACAGG
RNAcentral lists this ribosomal RNA (253 nucleotides) under uncultured bacterium. Its description in RNAcentral is "partial 16S ribosomal RNA". It matches the Rfam family "Bacterial small subunit ribosomal RNA", at positions 524 to 776 of the family's 1533-position model. The record is from RNAcentral.